RNAcentral lists this ribosomal RNA (440 nucleotides) under uncultured bacterium. Its description in RNAcentral is "bacterial SSU rRNA". It matches the Rfam family "Bacterial small subunit ribosomal RNA", at positions 338 to 795 of the family's 1533-position model. The record is from RNAcentral.
CCUACGGGUGGCAGCAGUGGGGAAUAUUGCACAAUGGGGGAAACCCUGAUGCAGCAACGCCGCGUGAGCGAAGAAGGCCUUCGGGUCGUAAAGCUCUGUCCUAAGGGAAGAAGCAUGACGGUACCUUAGGAGGAAGCCCCGGCUAACUACGUGCCAGCAGCCGCGGUAAUACGUAGGGGGCGAGCGUUAUCCGGAAUCACUGGGCGUAAAGGGUGCGUAGGCGGCCGAUUAAGCCAGGGGUGAAAGGCUACGGUUCAACCGUAGUAAGCCCUUGGAACGGGGUGGUUUGAGUGCAGGAGAGAAGAGGGGAAUCCCUGGUGUAGGGGUGAAAUGGGUAGAUAUUAGGAGGAACACCAGUGGGGAAGGCGACUCACUGGACUUUAACGGACGCUGAGGCAAAAAAGCGUGGGGAGAAAACAGGAUUAGAACCCCGGGUAGUC